UUCUCCGAUGACGACGACGAUGUAAAAAAUUACUUUCGUUCUUCUCAAGUUGCAAUGUGGAAGAAUAAUUUGGAGACCUUGCUGGGAGAA
Molecule: small nucleolar RNA, 90 nt
Organism: Panicum virgatum (switchgrass)
Lineage: Eukaryota; Viridiplantae; Streptophyta; Magnoliopsida; Poales; Poaceae
Product: small nucleolar RNA Z159/U59
Exons: 1
Source: RefSeq, a predicted model, not a curated record